This 2636-nucleotide ribosomal RNA is filed under the name Escherichia coli. RNAcentral describes it as "partial 23S ribosomal RNA". It matches the Rfam family "Bacterial large subunit ribosomal RNA". The record is from RNAcentral. Lineage: Bacteria; Pseudomonadati; Pseudomonadota; Gammaproteobacteria; Enterobacterales; Enterobacteriaceae.
GGGUUGUGAGGUUAAGCGACUAAGCGUACACGGUGGAUGCCCUGGCAGUCAGAGGCGAUGAAGGACGUGCUAAUCUGCGAUAAGCGUCGGUAAGGUGAUAUGAACCGUUAUAACCGGCGAUUUCCGAAUGGGGAAACCCAGUGUGUUUCGACACACUAUCAUUAACUGAAUCCAUAGGUUAAUGAGGCGAACCGGGGGAACUGAAACAUCUAAGUACCCCGAGGAAAAGAAAUCAACCGAGAUUCCCCCAGUAGCGGCGAGCGAACGGGGAGCAGCCCAGAGCCUGAAUCAGUGUGUGUGUUAGUGGAAGCGUCUGGAAAGGCGCGCGAUACAGGGUGACAGCCCCGUACACAAAAAUGCACAUGCUGUGAGCUCGAUGAGUAGGGCGGGACACGUGGUAUCCUGUCUGAAUAUGGGGGGACCAUCCUCCAAGGCUAAAUACUCCUGACUGACCGAUAGUGAACCAGUACCGUGAGGGAAAGGCGAAAAGAACCCCGGCGAGGGGAGUGAAAAAGAACCUGAAACCGUGUACGUACAAGCAGUGGGAGCACGCUUAGGCGUGUGACUGCGUACCUUUUGUAUAAUGGGUCAGCGACUUAUAUUCUGUAGCAAGGUUAACCGAAUAGGGGAGCCGAAGGGAAACCGAGUCUUAACUGGGCGUUAAGUUGCAGGGUAUAGACCCGAAACCCGGUGAUCUAGCCAUGGGCAGGUUGAAGGUUGGGUAACACUAACUGGAGGACCGAACCGACUAAUGUUGAAAAAUUAGCGGAUGACUUGUGGCUGGGGGUGAAAGGCCAAUCAAACCGGGAGAUAGCUGGUUCUCCCCGAAAGCUAUUUAGGUAGCGCCUCGUGAAUUCAUCUCCGGGGGUAGAGCACUGUUUCGGCAAGGGGGUCAUCCCGACUUACCAACCCGAUGCAAACUGCGAAUACCGGAGAAUGUUAUCACGGGAGACACACGGCGGGUGCUAACGUCCGUCGUGAAGAGGGAAACAACCCAGACCGCCAGCUAAGGUCCCAAAGUCAUGGUUAAGUGGGAAACGAUGUGGGAAGGCCCAGACAGCCAGGAUGUUGGCUUAGAAGCAGCCAUCAUUUAAAGAAAGCGUAAUAGCUCACUGGUCGAGUCGGCCUGCGCGGAAGAUGUAACGGGGCUAAACCAUGCACCGAAGCUGCGGCAGCAGGGUGAGUCGACCCCUAAGGCGAGGCCGAAAGGCGUAGUCGAUGGGAAACAGGUUAAUAUUCCUGUACUUGGUGUUACUGCGAAGGGGGGACGGAGAAGGCUAUGUUGGCCGGGCGACGGUUGUCCCGGUUUAAGCGUGUAGGCUGGUUUUCCAGGCAAAUCCGGAAAAUCAAGGCUGAGGCGUGAUGACGAGGCACUACGGUGCUGAAGCAACAAAUGCCCUGCUUCCAGGAAAAGCCUCUAAGCAUCAGGUAACAUCAAAUCGUACCCCAAACCGACACAGGUGGUCAGGUAGAGAAUACCAAGGCGCUUGAGAGAACUCGGGUGAAGGAACUAGGCAAAAUGGUGCCGUAACUUCGGGAGAAGGCACGCUGAUAUGUAGGUGAAGUCCCUCGCGGAUGGAGCUGAAAUCAGUCGAAGAUACCAGCUGGCUGCAACUGUUUAUUAAAAACACAGCACUGUGCAAACACGAAAGUGGACGUAUACGGUGUGACGCCUGCCCGGUGCCGGAAGGUUAAUUGAUGGGGUUAGCCGCAAGGCGAAGCUCUUGAUCGAAGCCCCGGUAAACGGCGGCCGUAACUAUAACGGUCCUAAGGUAGCGAAAUUCCUUGUCGGGUAAGUUCCGACCUGCACGAAUGGCGUAAUGAUGGCCAGGCUGUCUCCACCCGAGACUCAGUGAAAUUGAACUCGCUGUGAAGAUGCAGUGUACCCGCGGCAAGACGGAAAGACCCCGUGAACCUUUACUAUAGCUUGACACUGAACAUUGAGCCUUGAUGUGUAGGAUAGGUGGGAGGCUUUGAAGUGUGGACGCCAGUCUGCAUGGAGCCGACCUUGAAAUACCACCCUUUAAUGUUUGAUGUUCUAACGUUGACCCGUAAUCCGGGUUGCGGACAGUGUCUGGUGGGUAGUUUGACUGGGGCGGUCUCCUCCUAAAGAGUAACGGAGGAGCACGAAGGUUGGCUAAUCCUGGUCGGACAUCAGGAGGUUAGUGCAAUGGCAUAAGCCAGCUUGACUGCGAGCGUGACGGCGCGAGCAGGUGCGAAAGCAGGUCAUAGUGAUCCGGUGGUUCUGAAUGGAAGGGCCAUCGCUCAACGGAUAAAAGGUACUCCGGGGAUAACAGGCUGAUACCGCCCAAGAGUUCAUAUCGACGGCGGUGUUUGGCACCUCGAUGUCGGCUCAUCACAUCCUGGGGCUGAAGUAGGUCCCAAGGGUAUGGCUGUUCGCCAUUUAAAGUGGUACGCGAGCUGGGUUUAGAACGUCGUGAGACAGUUCGGUCCCUAUCUGCCGUGGGCGCUGGAGAACUGAGGGGGGCUGCUCCUAGUACGAGAGGACCGGAGUGGACGCAUCACUGGUGUUCGGGUUGUCAUGCCAAUGGCACUGCCCGGUAGCUAAAUGCGGAAGAGAUAAGUGCUGAAAGCAUCUAAGCACGAAACUUGCCCCGAGAUGAGUUCUCCCUGAC